GAGCCAGGAAUUAGAAAGAGCUUGGCCUCUCUCUCUUUCUCUCUUACCCCGUCUCCCUUUUCUCUCUCUUCUUCAUCAUGGUACUGCCGCAAACAUGGCAGCCAUUCAAGGACGCUAUUUGUCACCGCCUCUAAUCCUACUCGCAAGCCAACCGACGUUCGACUUCACUUUACGAUCUCAUCAUGGUUGGCUGAUUCAUCGUGUAGUAGACGGAGAGUUUGUCAGUCCGCCCAUCAACUUGACCGAUCGCCAGCUCCUCCUGAAGUUUCUUCGUCAACGGCAGACGAUGUGUGACCCCCUCGUGUGACCUCGCUUCCGGACUUCGCGAUAUCAACUCGUGAACGAGCUACGAGAUUUCAACCGAUCGUUUUACUUCGUCACACUUCUUAAUUCGUUCUAUCGGUGCUUCUCUUGGACUUUUUCGAGUGUUGCUCAAGAAAUAUCCUUUUUUGUUUGCUUUCUUCAGAAAUAUAUAUGUGAAGGAUUUUAAAGCAAAAUACAGUGUGAUGUUCCAAGUUCGGUGACGUAACGAUUUUAUAGAAAGUGUUCACCAUUAUAGUACGUAUCCACACACGUUUAUAUAUUCAUUGAUUUCUUUAGGGUAUAUCUCUUGGGUUGUGAAUUAAGAUAAAAAACAAAUCGAUCAGUGGUCUUCCAUUUCGAAAAGUACAUAUGUCAUUGUUAGCUCGUUCUUCGUUUUUGAUGCUGAGGAGUCAGCAAGGUAAGCACCAAAGGUGGAAUCUUCGGAGUCGUACUUUUUCAUCUCAAAUGACUAAAGUCAACAUAGACUUAGUCUCACGGUACGAACUGUACAAUCUUUUAUUAGCUAGGAACAUUUGACCAGGACCGUUUUUUGUUUGUUGUAUCAUGCCAUGAUUUCGGCUAGUGCGUUUAUAUAUAUAUAUAUAUAAAGUCGACAAGGAUAUGUUUGCGUCUGAGACUUGUAUAACAUGAAUUGUCCGCAAACCUGACGAAGUUUUCUGACGAAGAAUUCUUAAUUGAUAGAAUUAUAUAUUCGAACAAAUUUGUGUUUUACGUUCUUGUUCAGUAUUAGUAUAUCGACCAUAGUAGGAAUGGUACUUCUGAACAAGUUGAUUAAAUGAUCAAGAAAGAAAUUGUUUGUUAAAUAAUAGGAUUUAUUAAUUUCUUUUGUAAUAUCUAGGAUCUUUAUAUUCGGACGUAUUUCUUUAAAAUUUUGUCUAAAAUU
This is a long non-coding RNA of Vespula vulgaris, 1207 nucleotides long. RefSeq lists it as uncharacterized. The transcript has 3 exons. NCBI's taxonomy places the organism in Eukaryota, Metazoa, Arthropoda, Insecta, Hymenoptera, Vespidae. The record is from RefSeq and is a predicted model, not a curated record.